AUUGAACGCUGGCGGCAUGCCUUACACAUGCAAGUCGAACGGCAGCACGGGAGCAAUCCUGGUGGCGAGUGGCGAACGGGUGAGUAAUAUAUCGGAACGUGCCCAGUCGUGGGGAUAACGUAGCGAAAGCUACGCUAAUACCGCAUACGAUCUAUGGAUGAAAGCGGGGGAUCGCAAGACCUCGCGCGAUUGGAGCGGCCGAUAUCAGAUUAGGUAGUUGGUGAGGUAAAGGCUCACCAAGCCGACGAUCUGUAGCUGGUCUGAGAGGACGACCAGCCACACUGGGACUGAGACACGGUCCAGACUCCUACGGGAGGCAGCAGUGGGGAAUUUUGGACAAUGGGGGGCAACCCUGAUCCAGCAAUGCCGCGUGAGUGAAGAAGGCCU
This 387-nucleotide ribosomal RNA is filed under the name uncultured bacterium. RNAcentral's name for it is "bacterial SSU rRNA". It matches the Rfam family "Bacterial small subunit ribosomal RNA", at positions 30 to 417 of the family's 1533-position model. The record is from RNAcentral.